UACACAAAGCAUAUGAUGAGAAAGCAUUAAAACUGAGUGUGUGAAGCAUAUUCAAUCCAACACUGAGCUUUGUGUC
Small nucleolar RNA from Dromaius novaehollandiae (emu), 76 nucleotides. Ensembl annotates it as small nucleolar RNA, C/D box 69. The record is from Ensembl. NCBI's taxonomy places the organism in Eukaryota, Metazoa, Chordata, Aves, Casuariiformes, Dromaiidae.